This 392-nucleotide ribosomal RNA is filed under the name uncultured bacterium. RNAcentral describes it as "bacterial SSU rRNA". It matches the Rfam family "Bacterial small subunit ribosomal RNA", at positions 32 to 416 of the family's 1533-position model. The record is from RNAcentral.
AAUCAACGCUGGCGGCGUGCCUCAGACAUGCAAGUCGAACGAUUAAAGCUCUCUUCGGAGAGUGUAUAGAGUGGCGCACGGGUGAGUAACACGUAAGUAAUCUACCCUCGAGUGGGGAAUAACAACCGGAAACGGUUGCUAAUACCGCAUAAUGCAGCGGCACCGCAAGGUGACAGUUGUUAAAGAUUUAUCGCUUGAGGAGGAGCUUGCGGCAGAUUAGCUAGUUGGUAGGGUAACGGCUUACCAAGGCUACGAUCUGUAACCGGUCUAAGAGGACGGUCGGUCACACUGACACUGAAUAACGGGUCAGACUCCUACGGGAGGCAGCAGUGGGGAAUCUUGCGCAAUGGGCGAAAGCCUGACGCAGCGACGCCGCGUGGGUGAUGAAGGCC